CACCCAGAGACACAAUCCACAGCCCCUGGGUCUGUGCAGUGACCAGCCAGUCCCCUGAGAACUUUCCCCUCCAGCACCAGGGAAAAUGGGAUUUUUGCUCCUUGUAAUUUUCGCUGUAGCAGCUUUGGAAGGUGUCCGGUCCCAGGCGCUGGUGGAGUCCGGAGGGGAUGUGAAAAAGCCCGGAGACUCUCUCCGCCUCUCCUGCAAAGCCUCCGGCUUCACCUUCAGCAGCUACAGUAUGAUCUGGGCUCGUCAGGCUCCUGGGAAGGGGCUGGAAUGGGUCGCUUAUCUCAACAGCGCUGGGGGCGAUAUACGCUACCUUGAUUCAGUGAAAGGCCAAUUCACCAUCUCCAGGGACAAUUCCAAGAGUGAGCUGUAUCUGCAAAUGACCGGCCUGAAGCCCGAGGAC
Molecule: non-coding RNA, 409 nt
Organism: Trachemys scripta elegans
Lineage: Eukaryota; Metazoa; Chordata; Testudines; Emydidae
Source: the annotation of a RefSeq genome assembly